This 71-nucleotide transfer RNA is filed under the name Actinomycetota bacterium. RNAcentral's name for it is "Actinobacteria bacterium tRNA-Gln". It matches the Rfam family "tRNA". From Rfam's summary of the family: Transfer RNA (tRNA) molecules are approximately 80 nucleotides in length. Their secondary structure includes four short double-helical elements and three loops (D, anti-codon, and T loops). Further hydrogen bonds mediate the characteristic L-shaped molecular structure. tRNAs have two regions of fundamental functional importance: the anti-codon, which is responsible for specific mRNA codon recognition, and the 3' end, to which the tRNAs corresponding amino acid is attached (by aminoacyl-tRNA synthetases). tRNAs cope with the degeneracy of the genetic code in two manners: having more than one tRNA (with a specific anti-codon) for a particular amino acid; and 'wobble' base-pairing, i.e. permitting non-standard base-pairing at the 3rd anti-codon position. The record is from RNAcentral. Lineage: Bacteria; Bacillati; Actinomycetota.
GUCGGAUUGGUGUAGAGGUAGCACGCCCGACUUUGAAUCGGUAAGCGCGGGUUCGAUCCCCGUAUCCGGCA